GCCAAACAGCUAGCCUAACGACUAAUAUAACCAAAAAAUAUUAAUAACAAAACACGACCUCACACCAAAAAUUAAACCAUUUUUUUGCCUGAGUAUGGGAGACAGAAAAG
This 110-nucleotide ribosomal RNA is filed under the name Sarcocheilichthys variegatus variegatus. RNAcentral describes it as "partial 16S ribosomal RNA". Lineage: Eukaryota; Metazoa; Chordata; Actinopteri; Cypriniformes; Gobionidae. The record is from RNAcentral.